GUGCUUACUUCCUCAGUACAUAAAAUUAAAGCAAUACAGAGAAGAUUAGCUUGGCCGCUGCCCAAGGAUGACACGCAAAUUCACAAAGCAUUCCAUAUUUUC
This is a small nuclear RNA of Nannospalax galili (Upper Galilee mountains blind mole rat), 102 nucleotides long. NCBI's taxonomy places the organism in Eukaryota, Metazoa, Chordata, Mammalia, Rodentia, Spalacidae. The record is from Ensembl.